This 153-nucleotide small RNA is filed under the name Pteropus vampyrus (large flying fox). Its description in RNAcentral is "7SK RNA (ENSPVAG00000029421.1)". The record is from RNAcentral. Lineage: Eukaryota; Metazoa; Chordata; Mammalia; Chiroptera; Pteropodidae.
CCCCUCCCAAAGGUGAGAGCUUGGUCAAAGAUGAUGGCCUUUUUCUUAGGGAGAACUAUAUGUAGUUAGAAAUAUAAAUGCAGUUCCAAUUUCCUUCUAAAGCCUCCACAUCAGUAGCUAAAUACCAUUUGUUGAAGUUUGUAGGAAACAAAU